RNAcentral lists this ribosomal RNA (484 nucleotides) under uncultured bacterium. Its description in RNAcentral is "bacterial SSU rRNA". It matches the Rfam family "Bacterial small subunit ribosomal RNA", at positions 34 to 518 of the family's 1533-position model. The record is from RNAcentral.
CGCUGGCGGCGUGCCUAACACAUGCAAGUCGAGCGGAGUUAACAAGAGGAAGUUUCGGAUGGAAUUUGUAAUUAGCGGCGGACGGGUGAGUAACGCGUGAGCGACCAACCUUGCACAGGGGGAUAACGGACCGAAAGGUUCACUAAUACCGCAUGAGACCACGGUGUUGCAUGACACAGAGGUCAAAGGAGCAAUCCGGUGCAAGACGGGCUCGCGUCCGAUUAGGUAGUUGGUGGGGUAAUGGCCCACCAAGCCUAUGAUCGGUAGCCGACCUGAGAGGGUGAUCGGCCACAUUGGAACUGAGAUACGGUCCAAACUCCUACGGGAGGCAGCAGUGGGGAAUAUUGGGCAAAUGGGGGAAACCCUGACCCAGCAACGCCGCGUGAAGGAAGAAGGUUUUCGGAUUGUAAACUUCUGUCCUUGGUGAAGAGAAGAAGACGGUAGCCAAGGAGGAAGCCCCGGCUAACUACGUGCCAGCAGCCGC